CGGAGUGUGGUUCAUUGGUUGAUCGCUAGUUUUGGGAACUAGAUGAAGGGGGUUCGAUUCCUCCCAUUCCGACCA
This 75-nucleotide transfer RNA is filed under the name Methylotenera sp. RNAcentral describes it as "tRNA-Pro". It matches the Rfam family "tRNA". From Rfam's summary of the family: Transfer RNA (tRNA) molecules are approximately 80 nucleotides in length. Their secondary structure includes four short double-helical elements and three loops (D, anti-codon, and T loops). The record is from RNAcentral. Lineage: Bacteria; Pseudomonadati; Pseudomonadota; Betaproteobacteria; Nitrosomonadales; Methylophilaceae.